This 424-nucleotide ribosomal RNA is filed under the name Verrucomicrobiota bacterium. RNAcentral describes it as "Verrucomicrobia bacterium partial 16S ribosomal RNA". It matches the Rfam family "Bacterial small subunit ribosomal RNA", at positions 355 to 776 of the family's 1533-position model. Lineage: Bacteria; Pseudomonadati; Verrucomicrobiota. The record is from RNAcentral.
UGAGAAAUAUUGGUCAAUGGACGAGAGUCUGAACCAGCCAAGCAGCGUGCAGGAUGACGGCCCUAUGGGUUGUAAACUGCUUUUGUUUGGGAAUAAUCGACAUUACGUGUAAUGUUUUGCAUGUACCAUUCGUAUAAGGACCGGCUAAUUCCGUGCCAGCAGCCGCGGUAAUACGGAAGGUCCAGGCGUUAUCCGGAUUUAUUGGGUUUAAAGGGGGUGUAGGCGGUUGGUUAAGCGUGUUGUGAAAUGUAGAUGCUCAACAUCUGACUUGCAGCGCGAAUUUGCUGACUUGAGUACACAAAACGUAGGCGGAAUUCAUGGUGUAGCGGUGAAAUGCUUAGAUAUCAUGAAGAACUCCGAUUGCGAGGGCAGCUUACGGGAGUGUUACUGGCGCUUAAGCUCGAAAGUGCGGGUAUCGAACAGG